This 951-nucleotide long non-coding RNA is filed under the name Olea europaea (common olive). RNAcentral's name for it is "long non-coding RNA (OEUR_LNC009850)". The record is from RNAcentral. Lineage: Eukaryota; Viridiplantae; Streptophyta; Magnoliopsida; Lamiales; Oleaceae.
AAAACCAUCACCGUUCCAUUUUCUCUCUAUUCGGCCUUUGAAAAUCAAGCAGAGGCUACCCACCUCUCUCGCGCGCGCAGCAUCACGUGAGAACCACCACGUUCAGCAACCGCAUCGCACGUAGGGCCACUGAAUCCGAAUAAAUGACAGCCAAUGGGAGUACUCAUGCCUUUCUUCUACAUUCGUCCAAGCUAUAGAGGCAUGUGCGCAGAGGCGUGAUGUUUUGUAGUGUUCAUAAAAUUUGGAUCUAGGGUUAUUUGGAUCAGAUCCAGAAGCUCAAGAGCUCCAGGACCUUGAUGGCAGUAACAUCAUUCUAAACGAAGCUCAAUCCAGGAGGCGUUGGAUUCGUGGCGGACGUAGUAAGAGAGGUUAUGAAGGUGGAGGUGGAGGCUAUGUCCGCCGUGAGGAAGGUUUCUUUGCUGUAAACUCAUCUUUUUGCCACCACCGGUGAUGACGGACAUCGCUACUAUCUGUGCAUGGAUGGUAGUAAGGGUUGGUUCGAUUGGUCGGGAUGUUGGAUGCUUUGAUUGGCUGUGCGAAUCAAUAUUGUCAUCUUGGUUUUGAGUCGAUAGGUGGGGGACUUAGUGGAUGGAGAGGCAUGAUAGAAAUGGUAACAUGUAAUUGGUCAACUGGACUGUUGAUUUGAGGUAUGAGGGCUAUUGACUUUGGGUGGUGGCGAUGUUGUUAGGCUAUGUUGGUGGUGGUGAUGGUGAUGGUGAUGGUGAUGGUGAUGGUGCCGGUGCUGGUGCUGGCGGUGGUCGUUGUUGUCGAGUUGGUUGUGAAGUAGUGAUGGUUUUGUCAAAACGGGCGGGCCGGUUCGAACUGAUCGAAAAAAUUGUAUGGACUCGGGGGACCACUCGUGGCCCGAAAAAUUGUCGGGUGGUCCCGAGCUAGUUCGAUUGGGUCCAAAACGGAUCGGCCCGCUUACAUGGAUGAAGUGAGAAUACACUG